UGUGACGUCAUAUGUUCAUUUACCGAUAAAAAACUGACAAU
Molecule: small RNA, 41 nt
Filed under: Arabidopsis thaliana (thale cress)
Lineage: Eukaryota; Viridiplantae; Streptophyta; Magnoliopsida; Brassicales; Brassicaceae
Description: ATSL154120
Source: RNAcentral